ACGAACGCUGGCGGCGUGCUUAACACAUGCAAGUCGAACGGAAAGGCCCUGCUUUUGUGGGGUGCUCGAGUGGCGAACGGGUGAGUAACACGUGAGUAACCUGCCCUUGACUUUGGGAUAACUUCAGGAAACUGGGGCUAAUACCGGAUAGGAGCUCCUGCUGCAUGGUGGGGGUUGGAAAGUUUCGGCGGUUGGGGAUGGACUCGCGGCUUAUCCGCUUGUUGGUGGGGUAGUGGCUUACCAAGGCUUUGACGGGUAGCCGGCCGGAGAGGGUGACCGGGCACAUUGGGACUGAGGUACGGCCCAGACGCCAACCGGGGGCGGCGGUGGGGAAAAUUUCGCAAUGGGCGGGAGCCUGGUGCAACGACGCCCCGAUCGGGAUGACGGCCUUCGGGUUGUAAACCGCUUUCGCCUGUGACGAAGCGUUAGUGACGGUAAUGGGUAAAGAAGCACCGGCUAACUACGUG
RNAcentral lists this ribosomal RNA (467 nucleotides) under uncultured bacterium. Its description in RNAcentral is "partial 16S ribosomal RNA". It matches the Rfam family "Bacterial small subunit ribosomal RNA", at positions 29 to 507 of the family's 1533-position model. The record is from RNAcentral.